AAGCUCGUAGUUGAAUUUCGGGAUUUUAGUAGGCUGGUUAUGAACUCGCGAGCUGCAGGUUUAUGUACUGGUCUUACUAAUUCCUCCUUCCUGAUGAACUGUAGUGCCAUUAAUUUGGUGUUGCAGGGAAUCUGGACUGUUACUUUGAAAAAAUUAGAGUGUUUAAAGCAGGCUAACCGCUUGAAUAAGUUAGCAUGGAAUAAUGAAAUAGGACGUUCGAUCCUAUUUUGUUGGUUUCUAGGAUUGACGUAAUGAUUAAUAGGGAUAGUUGGG
This 273-nucleotide ribosomal RNA is filed under the name uncultured Glomus. Its description in RNAcentral is "partial 18S ribosomal RNA". It matches the Rfam family "Eukaryotic small subunit ribosomal RNA", at positions 624 to 886 of the family's 1831-position model. The record is from RNAcentral. Lineage: Eukaryota; Fungi; Glomeromycota; Glomeromycetes; Glomerales; Glomeraceae.